Molecule: non-coding RNA, 1033 nt
Organism: Paramuricea clavata
Lineage: Eukaryota; Metazoa; Cnidaria; Anthozoa; Malacalcyonacea; Plexauridae
Source: the annotation of a GenBank genome assembly
ACCAUGUCCACGGGCGCACCCGCGGAGGGAAUGGGGGUGCGGCCCCACCUUUCUUCCGAGAACCAAUUUUUUUGAUCCUUUCAAAAUUGAGGAGAAACUAGAUGGGGGGUUAACCUCUUAAUGCUUUCCAUCUAUGACAUAAAAUAUACCAAACCUGUGCAUUUCAGAUUAUCAUAAACGUUUGAAAUGCAUGAUUUUCGCAGACCCUAAAAAUAGAAAAAAUUUCCGGCCGGCCGAUUAAUCCUAUCACUUCCCACUCGCUUCUAGCUGCCAUGUUGACUAUAUCGCUGUCUUGAUGCCACACUAAUAAGCGUUCGUUUGAAUAUUCUCAGUGAGGUCCACUAGUUCGUCAGUUGAGAAUUUAUAUUACCAUAUACUUUAGAAGUUCAUUGAUCAGUGAUCUUAAAGCUUGGUUAACACUAGUAAUUCUGUCCGCGAUAGUAGUUUCUCCUUCUGACAAAUGCCCAAUGAAUGACAUGCAGAAGAAUUGUUUACUUCUGAAAAGCGACUCUAUACUUUUGCAUCCGUUAAGGCCCAUACAGACAGGACGCGAUUUGGCGACGCGAUAUCUGUAUGGGUCUUUAGAAACACAAAAUCGCGGACGAAAUUGCCAGUGUGAAGCAGGCCUAAAAAAACUCAAGCCACGUCUUCGGCUACCACUCGUUUUUCAACACAAUCUUCGGUGUUUUAAAUCGCAUUAAUAGACCACUCCCCUUGCAUGCUAUUUGACAACAAAACCCCUCAGAGUUUUUAUACGUUACAAGUCUUGUUUUUCAACACGAGCUCUUAGAAAAACUGAACUUUCAACCCUUUGAAAAAUUUCAGUUGCCUUUGAACUAUAUCAAGCCUACAGAUAUCGGUAGCAAACUCUUAUCGUUUAGAAAUACACGAGAUAUAAACUCACAGCUUUCAUAAUCAAGUCCACUGUUCCACCUGUUAAUUAGCUAGCGAGUUCUUAUCCUUUAUAAAUACACGAGAAUUAAACUCUCAACCUUCAAGAAUCUAGUCAAAUGAGAACAGAACCUAUUGAGCU